Long non-coding RNA from Oryzias melastigma (Indian medaka), 742 nucleotides. RefSeq lists it as uncharacterized. The record is from RefSeq and is a predicted model, not a curated record. The transcript is spliced from 2 exons. Lineage: Eukaryota; Metazoa; Chordata; Actinopteri; Beloniformes; Adrianichthyidae.
AGUCUGGCAGCGGCCGUGUAUCAUCGCACAUCGUUCUAUGGUACAGUCAGAGGGGCAAGAAAAGAGAGUCACCAAGGCGUUGAAUGUAGGGAAAAGGACAUGGAGAGGGGAGGAAAGCAGGUUUCCAUGACAACGGUGUCUGCUUAUCACACCUUCAGCGGAUUGUUCUGGUUCAGUCCAAGGGAGUGUGCCCUUGGCUCGGGGGUUCCUGAUUAGAGAGGAUAGGCAGACACAGCUUCUGCCUGCCUGUUGAAUGUCCAGGUGCUGCUUUAUGAUGGAAUAUUCACUGAUUCAGGCAAUUUGGGGGUUUUCCUCCAAGUCAAGCCAUAAUUCACUCCAAAAUAUUUUCCAGCUUCCCAAGGGAGACUUCAUCGCGAUAAGGCAAACAGAGCAUCAACCUUGGUCUCCAAUCCGUUUAGUUUUUCACAGUAGAUACAAUAGUGGUGGGAAAUGAGUGAAGGCUUCCUUUACGUCUACAGCCCCACCACAACUUAGAGGUGAGCGGAGGGUUUUCUGGGGAAGACCAAACAGUGGUUCCAGGAGUCAGAGGUGACACGCCUGUGGAGCAGAAUGGCAGCAGUGCAGGAGUGCAGGCUGCGAGGGAGGACGGGUGAUGUUGCAGAGGUGGAAGCAGGCUGACCGGAUCAUGGUAAUAAUGUGUCAGGUGGAAGAAACCAUGCUGUCAAGAAAAACACUCAGACUCCAUGAGAGGAGGAGGAAAUGAAGGAACUAUUAACACAUA